ACUCCUACGGGAGGCAGCAGUAGGGAAUAUUGCACAAUGGGCGAAAGCCUGAUGCAGCAACGCCGCGUGCGCGAAGAAGGCCUUCGGGUCGUAAAGCGCUUUUCGGGGAGAUGAGGAAGGACAGUAUCCCCGGAAUAAGGCUCGGCUAACUACGUGCCAGCAGCCGCGGUAAAACGUAGGAGCCAAGCGUUAUCCGAAUUCACUGGGCGUAAAGCGCGUGCAGGCGGCCUGGUAAGUUGGAUGUGAAAUCUCCUGGCUCAACUGGGAGAGGCCGUUCAAUACUGUCAGGCUAGAGGGCGACAGAGGGAGGUGGAAUUCCGGGUGUAGUGGUGAAAUGCGUAGAUAUCCGGAGGAACACCAGAGGCGAAGGCGACCUCCUGGGUCGCACCUGACGCUCAGACGCGAAAGCUAGGGGAGCAAACGGGAUUAGAAACCCCGGUAGUCCUAGCCGUAAACGAUGUAGACUGGGUGUCGGCGGGGUAAAAGCCGUCGGUGCCGAAGCCAACGCGAUAAGUCUACCGCCUGGGGACUACGGCCGCAAGGUUAAAACUCAAAUGAAUUGACGG
This 566-nucleotide ribosomal RNA is filed under the name uncultured bacterium. RNAcentral's name for it is "bacterial SSU rRNA". It matches the Rfam family "Bacterial small subunit ribosomal RNA", at positions 335 to 916 of the family's 1533-position model. The record is from RNAcentral.